AAACGGAACGGUACCCCUUUAACCCUUGAAGCUACUGUCCGUUUGAGAGUUUCUCUCAUACUCGAAAUAACUAAAGCCAACGUGAACUUUUGCGGACCUUGAGUCCG
RNAcentral lists this non-coding RNA (107 nucleotides) under Citrobacter portucalensis. RNAcentral's name for it is "OxyS RNA". It matches the Rfam family "OxyS RNA". From Rfam's summary of the family: OxyS is a small untranslated RNA which is induced in response to oxidative stress in Escherichia coli. Lineage: Bacteria; Pseudomonadati; Pseudomonadota; Gammaproteobacteria; Enterobacterales; Enterobacteriaceae. The record is from RNAcentral.